GUUCCCUUUAAUUAUUUGCUCUGCCAACAUAAAUAAUAAUAAAAAAAAUUGACCAACUGGGGUAAUACAAAUGCGGUCCCUCAUUUCCUUACGGGAAUCUUUAUCACGUCUGAUAUUAAAUGUUAAUAUAAGAAAUACCCAGAUAGCAACUUCCCUAGUCUUGGCUGCCAAUAUGUUCAAUGGCUAGAUCAAUCAGGUCAGGCGAGCCAAGACAGGCUCCAUUCCACUCGCUUAAAUCAGAGUACCUAGCUUAAUCCUACAAUGUUAUCUCCACGCUAAUAAUCAUUAGCUGGGUUUAGUUUAAUCAGUGAAGCAAGUGCUUCAUGGUGCCAGACCUCCAAGUGAUGAACUCAGAACAGUGAAGAUAAGAUUUUAUAUCUUAUAAAAUGAGUCGUAUUAUCAAACCUUGGGUUCUUCAAUCAUGCAUAUUCUCUGGCUAAGCUUGAUAUGGAAUACAGCAAGUCAAUGGCUAUGAAUCGCCAUCUGGAUACCAAGAUAGGAGCAAGCCCUUCCGCAACCAACCAAGAAAAGGUCAUUUCCUUUUGUCUUGAUAACAGGGGCGUGCAGAUGUAGUACAAAGAAUGAGAAUGGAUAAUAGGAUACAAACAAGCUAUGCCGUGCCGGCUUUAGUCACGGUUUGAUCUUGCUUUCCCUGGAUAGAUACGAAAGUGCCUCAGAUGGCCACAGUAAAAUAGCAGCAAUUGCGGUAAGCCAAAACCACCUUGCACCUCAUCAACUGUCAACCUAUCUCAGACCUAACCAAGGACAAGGCCUGCAAUUGCAGCUCAUCUUGACAUCUCCAACUACGAAGCAAUCUUCUUGCCCUUGUUUUUCACAGGCUUCUAAAUACAUUAAAUUUCAAUUCUUUCAUGACUGACAAAGUUUCAGAAAGGAUACUCUGUGCAUAAUCAUCAGUCAUAUGGAUGCUCCAGUGCAUGCAACGGCUAUCAAAAGGGAAGUUAAUGUGACAGUGCAUUACAAGCUAAGGUUCUCAGUAAGAUAGGGCCAAUACAAACUCUAACUACAGAUCCUCAACAUCUUAUCACAUAGGAGUCCCAUAGAUAUGCCUACAGAUGAAACCCCAAGCAUCACAUGACCUUAAUGUAAAUUGAUCUGAAAAAUAAUGUGAAUAAAAUAACAAAAGAAAUAGCAAGGAAAAAAAAUUUUGUUGUGGUUGUAGUUUUACUGGAUCUGUUUAGCAUGUGUCAGUUCAUAUAGACAUAACAAUAAAGAUCCGGGCUUUGACUUUCCGGUCAGAAGCUAUCAUCAUUCAAAUUCAGACAUCAGAAAAUAAGAAAGUUGGAGCAAAUUCAACAAAUUUUAGUGCAUGUUUGGUAUGAUGUAAUUGAAAAUAAUGUAAUGUAAUGAAACAAAUUUUAAUUGCAUUCCAUUUUGCGUAAUUACAUCUUAUCAGACAAGCUUAGUGUCUUCCUGACUAAUUGAAUUUUACGCUAUUAAAGACUUUUAUUGCUAAAACUACAUUGAAAAGACAACAAUUCAACAAAUUACAGUAUAUGCUACGGUACAGGCAUCAAAGUCAAUCAUCUUAACCUACAUAACCAGCACUGACGGCAAAAAGGGGGAAAAUAUCUGGCAGAAACCCCUAUAACUCAUAAACAUAUCUUUGAUUCUUCACAAGAACCAUCAAUGUGGAGUACUCAAGUAUAGAGCAAGACCAAUUCAAAUUAUUCAGAAAGAGCUCCCAUACACCUAAAUGCAUCAAACAAUUCACCAAUCUUACAUUUAAUGAAAUGCUAAUCAGCUAGCUAUCAUUAAACAACCACAUGAAAUCCACAAUGAAAAUGUUGCAACUAAACUUAAAAAUCUUGGAGAUGAAGCUUAGCAACAUGAAGCUUAUUACACAUACUACACCAGGCACAUCCAUUAUACAGUUAUUACCCACAUAGUGAUACAGAAGAAACCAAACCAAAAAAAAAAGUGUCAUUUCUCUUAUUCUCACAAUAGUAAAUGAGUAAUGCAUUUUGAAAGGAAGAAUAACCCAUCUUGAUGGACAAUAGACACCUCAAGACAAUCUGUUAAACAUACUGCUUAAUGUCAAAUUCCAAAAGAGAAUUAGGUAAAGGAUGGAUGGUUUAUUCAAAUGUAAGACUUCAUAAAGAAAUAAAUCCAACUUGAGGUAUGCCAAAUCCUACUUCCCUUAAAAGAAUAAAAUAAAUUUCCUAGGGAGAACAUUAUUUCCACAGAUGACUAACAGACCCCCCUGGACAUUUUCAGUAGAUGAUUGAAACAUCCUUGUGCUCAUCCUGACAUGCCAAAUGGUUGUCCAGUCAUGCUGUUGCAUUUCACAUCCUUGUAAACCAUUAAUGCCGCAACAACUGAAAGGCUAGCCUAAAUGUUAGUUUGAUGAGCAUUACCAUUAGAAUAAAUUACAUAAUCUCAGGUGAAGAGAAAUAAACUUGUCAAAAUGCAACAUUCACACCACAUUAUAGGUGCAGCUUUCUUCAUUAAUUUUUCUUAAAGUUGAUUCACAAUAGAUUAAGCACUAAGAUUUAGUAAAACUAUCACCAGUACAACUCAAGAUAUGGCAGAAAGAAUUAUUCUAUGUGAAUUAUUUUGGACUAUAUCAUAAAAAAAUCUAAAUCUAAAUGCCCAAAGAAGAACAGAAUGAAGAAAGAAUUUAUUUAACUAACCUCAAUGAGUUCAGAAUUAAAGCUUAGUUGAGUACUCUGGCCAAAUCUAAAUGGGGUUAAUUACAUGAGAUGUUGACCAAAAGAAAUUAUUGAUGAUGAUUGUGAUGAAAAAAAAACUCGACGGAUGCAAACAAACAGAAAGAAAACCUUGCACCCACCUGAACACACACACACACACACUUCUUUCACAAAUCCAAAUGAUCCAGCAGAUUCCCCAAAAACACUUUUAAUAUUUGCGCAUAUUUGAUAAGUGGAAAGAAAAGGAAAAUUGAUGAUUCCAGCCUUGAUCCCAUGUUCAUAAACACUACAUGUUUAACAUAUAGAGCACGUAUCCCAACAAUAAAUCUGGAUCUAGUCUUUUCUUUUGUACACAAUACAUUACUUACAUUUAAAGAAAAAGUAAUAAUGUUAAAUACUAUGUCAUUACACUUUGAGCCAGCAACCUCACAAUUAAGCAUGAAGUAAGAACUUAAAGAAAACAUAAAACAAUGUCAAGAUAAGAAAGUGACUUUUCCUUUGAUCGGCACCUUCAUCAUUGAGUUGCUAGUAUGAAAAA
Molecule: unclassified non-coding RNA, 3207 nt
Filed under: Hevea brasiliensis (rubber tree)
Lineage: Eukaryota; Viridiplantae; Streptophyta; Magnoliopsida; Malpighiales; Euphorbiaceae
Source: RNAcentral